AUUGAACGCUGGCGGCAGGCCUAACACAUGCAAGUCGAGCGGAUGAAGGGAGCUUGCUCCUGGAUUCAGCGGCGGACGGGUGAGUAAUGCCUAGGAAUCUGCCUGGUAGUGGGGGAUAACGUCCGGAAACGGGCGCUAAUACCGCAUACGUCCUGCGGGAGAAAGUGGGGGAUCUUCGGACCUCACGCUAUCAGAUGAGCCUAGGUCGGAUUAGCUAGUUGGUGGGGUAAAGGCCUACCAAGGCGACGAUCCGUAACUGGUCUGAGAGGAUGAUCAGUCAAACUGGAACUGAGACACGGUCCAGACUCCUACGGGAGGCAGCAGUGGGGAAUAUUGGACAAUGGGCGAAAGCCUGAUCCAGCCAUGCCGCGUGUGUGAAGAAGGUCUUCGGAUUGUAAAGCACCUUAAGUUGGGAGGAAGGGCAGUAAGUUAAUACCUUGCUGUUUUGACGUUACCAACAGAAUAAGCACCGGCUAACUUCGUG
RNAcentral lists this ribosomal RNA (484 nucleotides) under uncultured bacterium. RNAcentral's name for it is "partial 16S ribosomal RNA". It matches the Rfam family "Bacterial small subunit ribosomal RNA", at positions 30 to 507 of the family's 1533-position model. The record is from RNAcentral.